CGUAUGCUUACAUACAGUUGAAGGGCUAUGUUCUUCGGAACACGCCUGACAGCGUACCUUUUGUAUAAUGAGCCAGCGACUUACUCUUUGCAGCGAGGUUAAGCCGAUUGAGGUGUAGCCGUAGCGAAAGCGAGUCUUAAACGGGCGUUUUAGUUGCAAGGAGUAGACCCGAAAGCAGCGUGAGCUAGGCAUGGGCAGGUUGAAGCCAAUGUAAAAAUUGGUGGAGGACCGAACCGAUCGUUGCUGAAAAAGCGUCGGAUGACCUGUGUCUAGGAGUGAAAGGCUAAUCAAACCUGCAUAUAGCUGGUUCUCCCCGAAAUCUAUUUAGGUAGAGCCUGGUGGCAUGAGUACCGGAGGUAGAGCACUGGAUGGGCUAGGGGGUCCUACAAGACUACCAAACCAACCAAACUCCGAAUUCCGUAUACUUGGACCACUGGAGACAGAAGAUGUGGGAUAAACUUCAUAUUCGAGAGGGAAACAGCCCAGACCGUCAGCUAAGGUCCCAAAAUUUAGACUAAGU
Molecule: ribosomal RNA, 520 nt
Filed under: uncultured bacterium
Lineage: Bacteria
Description: bacterial LSU rRNA
Rfam family: Bacterial large subunit ribosomal RNA
Source: RNAcentral